RNAcentral lists this ribosomal RNA (243 nucleotides) under uncultured bacterium. Its description in RNAcentral is "partial 16S ribosomal RNA". It matches the Rfam family "Bacterial small subunit ribosomal RNA", at positions 89 to 334 of the family's 1533-position model. The record is from RNAcentral.
CACCUAGCGGCGAACGGGUGAGUAACACGUGGGCAACCUGCCCUCAGCUCUGGGAUAACCCCCGGAAACGGGAGCUAAUACCGGAUAUGACCUCUUUGGACAUCCUUUGAGGUGGAAAGAAUUUCGGCUGAGGAUGGGCCCGCGGCCUAUCAGCUUGUUGGUGGGGUAAUGGCCUACCAAGGCGACGACGGGUAGCCGGCCUGAGAGGGCGACCGGCCACACUGGGACUGAGACACGGCCCAG